Long non-coding RNA from Sceloporus undulatus (fence lizard), 1558 nucleotides. RefSeq lists it as uncharacterized. The record is from RefSeq and is a predicted model, not a curated record. Lineage: Eukaryota; Metazoa; Chordata; Lepidosauria; Squamata; Phrynosomatidae. The transcript is spliced from 4 exons.
AAAAAUGGGGGGUGGGGGGAGUUGGGAAGAAAAGACAAGGUUUGUGAGUAUGCAGACCUAAAGAAAACCAACAGGGUGUAGUGGUUUGAAUGGUGGACUUGGAUUCCAGGAGCCCUAGAAACCAAGAUGACUAAAGAUGUUGUACUUUGGAUCUACUAUGAAAUUACACACCCAACUCGCUAGAAAAGGCAAUGAUGCUUGGUAAGGUAGAAGGCUGUAGGAAAAGAAGAAGACCUUAUUCCUGAUGGACAGAUUCAAUCAAGGAGUCUGCCUAAUGCAUUUGCUGCUUCUGGAUGAAGUUGGACCAGAAAGCCAGUUGCUAACAAUAUACACGUCUCAAGUCAAGUCGAGGCAAUGCAUCAUUUAUUGCCAAGUCAAAUCCAAGUAGAGCCAUUGAAGCGACCUGAGUCUGAGUCAAUCGACUCAAGUCUUCAUCACUGAUAGGAUGCCAGACCCAAGCCAGCAUCUGCUUAGAAGUGAUAUGGCUACAGAUGCAUGGAGCUGAUCCUUGUGGCUUUCUCACCUGCUUGUCGCCAUCUUGUAGCCCACAAUCCCCAUCAGGCUAAGGAAGAGGACACCCCCAACAGCACCUCCUGACACCAUGAGAAUAAGAGUCAUGUCCACUGUGGGAGGGAAAGAGACAAUUAAACCUUGCAGCUAUGGCCUAUAGAGAUAACUAUAUGAAGUCAGAAGAUUGCUUUUGACAACUAGCAUGCUGGCAGAAAUUCAGCUGGUGAAGCUUUUUCCACUCUUCAACUGUUAAUUAUAGCCAAUGCGGUGUAGAGGUUAGAGUGUUGGACUUGGACUCUGGGAGACCAGGGUUUGAAUCCCCGCUCAUCUAUGGAAACAUACCCCAUGACUUGGCUCCUCACUAGAUAAAGGCUCCAACAUCUGUCUCUGCUGAAGAAACCUUUCUUUUUCCACAACCCACAAGUGAUGAUUGAGAGAUGAGAACAGUCAAGAAGAGAAUGAACCCAAUGUCUGCCCUGUAUAACCCCAACGCCUGUAUGGAUGGUCCUAGAUGGGGUUGCCAACUGAUAGGAAUAGAACAAAUGACCGGCUGCUGUGCCUAACACCCACUUGAUAUGCGGGAAGCUUCUCACAGUAUAAAACUAAAAAUGUCCACUCCUGUUAAAGGCAGAAGAACAAGAGCUGACACAAAAAUUGCCACCCUGUGCUGAUAGUGAAUUAAAUGCCAUUGGGAUUUUUCAGAUGUCUUGUGCCUGCCAGGGAGAAAUUCUGCAGGAGCGAUCUUUCCGAGGGACAGAAAUGCAGUGGCAGCAAAAGUUUCACUGGCUAGCAUUCGGUCAGACUCUACUAAAAGAUACAAUAGGCCUGGAUGAAUAAAGAGGUGGCUCUGCAGUGUCAACAAAGCAAGCAUGAAAGUGAACCAAUUGAAUAGUCCUCUUACACUCCACAUUGAGGAGUACCAUGUUCAGAUACUCACAUUUAACCUGCAGGUAGAUCCCAUUGCGAGACUGUUGCUGGUUUGGGAAGGUGGCUGUGCACUGAAGAUAUUUGCCAUGGUCCUUGUGGGAAGGGGUGUAGCUAAAUCCCG